This 253-nucleotide ribosomal RNA is filed under the name uncultured bacterium. Its description in RNAcentral is "partial 16S ribosomal RNA". It matches the Rfam family "Bacterial small subunit ribosomal RNA", at positions 524 to 776 of the family's 1533-position model. The record is from RNAcentral.
UACAGAGGUGGCAAGCGUUGUUCGGAAUUACUGGGCGUAAAGGGCGCGUAGGCGGCCUACUAAGUCAGACGUGAAAUCCCCCGGCUUAACCUGGGAACUGCGUCUGAUACUGGAAGGCUUGAGUAUGGGAGAGGGAUGUAGAAUUCCAGGUGUAGCGGUGAAAUGCGUAGAUAUCUGGAGGAAUACCGGUGGCGAAGGCGGCAUCCUGGACCGGUAUUGACGCUGAGGCGCGAAGGCCAGGGGAGCAAACGGG